Molecule: ribosomal RNA, 2266 nt
Filed under: human gut metagenome
Description: bacterial LSU rRNA
Rfam family: Bacterial large subunit ribosomal RNA
Source: RNAcentral
AGGGGAACCGGGUUGAAUACCGGGCCGCAGAGGGUGAGGGCCCCGUACCUGAACGCGCAUGGUCUGCCGAUCGCGUCUCCCAAGUAGCACGGGUCCCGUGGAACCCCGUGCGAAUCCGCCCAGACCGUUGGGUAAGCCUGAAUAUUCCUGUCUGACCGAUAGCGAACGAGUACCGUGAGGGAAAGGUGAAAAGUACCCCGGGAGGGGAGUGAAACAGUCUCUGAAACCGUGCGCCUACAAUCCGUCGGAGCCCUUUUGUGGGGUGACGGCGUGCCUAUCGAAAAAUGAGUCUGCGAGUCAGUGGCAUGUGGCGAGCAUAACCCGUGUGGGGUAUGCGUAGCGAAGGCGAGUCUUAAAAGGCGUUUGAGUCGCGUGUCCUGGACCCGAAGCGGGAUGAUCUAGCCCUGAGCAGGUUGAAGCGCGGGUAAGACCGCGUGGAGGACCGAACCCACCUGGGUUGAAAACCGGGGGGAUGACUUGGGGCUAGGGGUGAAAGGCCAAUCAAAUUCCGUGAUAGCUGGUUCUCUCCGAAAUGCAUUUGGGUGCAGCGUCGGGUCAUUACGUCCCGGGGGUAGAGCUACUGGAUGCUUGCGGGCCCGUAUCGGGUACCAACAGCAACCAAACUCCGAAUACCGGUGACGCGUAUCCCGGCAGUGAGUCGGCGGGGGAUAAGCUUCGUCGUCGAAAGGGAAACAGCCCAGACCGUCGUCUAAGGUCCCGAAGCGUGUGCUAAGUGGGAAAGGAUGUGGAGUCGCAUAGACAGCCAGGAGGUUGGCUCAGAAGCAGCCACCCUUGAAAGAGUGCGUAACAGCUCACUGGUCUAGUGGUUCCGCGCCGACAAUGUAGCGGGGCUCAAGCACACCACCGAAGACGCGGCAGUAUUUUGUACUGGGUAGGAGAGCGUCCCAUGAGGGGCGAAGCGGCCGUGUGAACGCGCCGUGGACUUCAUGGGAGUGAGAAUGCAGACAUGAGUAGCGAGAGACGGGUGAAGAUCCCGUCCGCUGGAUGACCAAGGGUUCCAGGGCCACGUUCAUCGUCCCUGGGUGAGUCGGGUCCUAAGGCGAGGCCGACAGGCGUAGUCGAAUGGAUGAACGGGUCGAUAUUCCCGUACCGGCUUUCAGCCGCCAAAACCGAGGCUUGGAGUACUAACCUCCGGGUCCGGGCUUACUGCUCCUUCGGGGGCGGGAUGCCCUGGCCUGUUGGGACCGAUCCUUGUAGUAGGUCAGCGCAGGAGUGACGCAGAAGGGUAGCCGGCCGCGGAGGUGGUCUUCCGUGGUCAAGCACGCAGGGCGUGGGACAGGCAAAUCCGUCCCGCAUGGGUCCGAGGUGCGAUGAUGGGGGCCUUAUGGCCCGAUAUCCGGUGAUCCCGGCUGCCGAGAAAAGCUUCGGCGUCAGGCUCGAAGCCGCCCGUACCCCAAACCGACACUGGUGGUCAGGUAGAGAAUACCAAAGCGAUCGAGCGAAUCCUGGUCAAGGAACUCGGCAAAUCACUCCCGUUCCUUCGGUUUAAGGGAGACCCCCGAUGGUGAACACGCUUGCUGUGGGAGCUUUUGGGGGUGGCACAGACCAGGGGGUAGCGACUGUUUACCAAAAACACAGGUGCAUGCGAAGGCGCAAGCCGCUGUAUAUGCACUGACGCCUGCCCGGUGCCGGAAGGUUAAGAGGAUCCGUCAGCCUUCGGGUGAAGCGGUGAAUUCAAGCCCCGGUAAACGGCGGUGGUAACUAUAACCAUCCUAAGGUAGCGAAAUUCCUUGUCGGGUAAGUUCCGACCUGCACGAAUGGCGUAACGACUUCCCCACUGUCUCGACCAGGAGCUCGGCGAAAUUGCAGUACGAGUAAAGAUGCUCGUUAAGCGCAGAAGGACGAAAAGACCCCGGGACCUUUACUAUACCUUGGUAUUGGCAUUCGGUGUGGAUUGUGUAGCAUAGGCGGGAGGCCGAGAGGCGCGGUCGCCAGAUCGCGCGGAGCCGUAAGGUGAAAUACCGCUCUGUUCGCAUUGGAUGUCUAACCUCGAACAGUCAUCCUGUUCAGGGACAGUGCCUGGCGGGUAGUUUAACUGGGGCGGUUGCCUCCCAAAGAGUAACGGAGGCGCCCAAAGGUCCGCUCAGCCCGGUUGGCAAUCGGGUGGCGAGUGCAAGUGCACAAGCGGGCUUGACUGCGAGGACGACGGUCCGAGCAGGGACGAAAGUCGGGACUAGUGAUCCGGUGCCGGUGUACGGACGCGGCAUCGCUCAACGGAUAAAAGGUACUCCGGGGAUAACAGGCU